UUGCCUACGGGUGGCAGCAGUAGGGAAUAUUGGACAAUGGGGGAAACCCUGAUCCAGCAAUGCCGCGUGAGUGAUGAAGGCCUUAGGGUUGUAAAGCUCUUUUACCCGAGAUGAUAAUGACAGUAUCGGGAGAAUAAGCUCCGGCUAACUCCGUGCCAGCAGCCGCGGUAAUACGGAGGGAGCUAGCGUUGUUCGGAAUUACUGGGCGUAAAGCGCACGUAGGCGGCGAUCUAAGUCAGAGGUGAAAGCCCGGGGCUCAACCCCGGAAUUGCCUUUGAGACUGGAUUGCUAGAAUCCGGGAGAGGUGAGUGGAAUUCCGAGUGUAGAGGUGAAAUUCGUAGAUAUUCGGAAGAACACCAGUGGCGAAGGCGGCUCACUGGACCGGCAUUGACGCUGAGGUGCGAAAGCGUGGGGAGCAAACAGGAUUAGAUACCCCGGUAGUCCCC
This 446-nucleotide ribosomal RNA is filed under the name uncultured Sphingobium sp. Its description in RNAcentral is "bacterial SSU rRNA". It matches the Rfam family "Bacterial small subunit ribosomal RNA", at positions 335 to 798 of the family's 1533-position model. The record is from RNAcentral. Lineage: Bacteria; Pseudomonadati; Pseudomonadota; Alphaproteobacteria; Sphingomonadales; Sphingobiaceae.